UCCGGUUUGUCACCGGCAGUCUCCCUAGAGUGCCCUUGCGUAGCAACUAGGGACAAGGGUUGCGCUCGUUGCGGGACUUAACCCAACAUCUCACGACACGAGCUGACGACAGCCAUGCAGCACCUGUGUUCCCGUUCCCUUUCGGGCACAACCCCCUCUCAGGGGCCUUCGGGACAUGUCAAGGGUAGGUAAGGUUGUUCGCGUUGCAUCGAAUUAAUCCACAUCAUCCACCGCUUGUGCGGGUCCCCGUCAAUUCCUUUGAGUUUUAACCUUGCGGCCGUACUCCCCAGGCGGUCGACUUCACGCGUUAGCUACGGUACUGGGAAAUCGCUUCCCCAACACCCAGUCGACAUCGUUUAGGGCGUGGACUAC
RNAcentral lists this unclassified non-coding RNA (372 nucleotides) under uncultured Gammaproteobacteria bacterium. RNAcentral describes it as "contains 16S-23S intergenic spacer region". Lineage: Bacteria; Pseudomonadati; Pseudomonadota; Gammaproteobacteria. The record is from RNAcentral.